RNAcentral lists this transfer RNA (65 nucleotides) under Bromius obscurus. RNAcentral's name for it is "tRNA-Thr". The record is from RNAcentral. Lineage: Eukaryota; Metazoa; Arthropoda; Insecta; Coleoptera; Chrysomelidae.
GUUUUAAUAAUUUAUAUAAAAUAUUGGUUUUGUAAACCAAAAAUAAGAAUUUAACUUUUAAAACU